CAGCUCCUACGGGACGCAGCAGUGGGGAAUAUUGCACAAUGGGGGAAACCCUGAUGCAGCAACGCCGCGUGAGUGAUGACGGCCUUCGGGUUGUAAAGCUCUGUCUUCAGGGACGAUAAUGACGGUACCUGAGGAGGAAGCCACGGCUAACUACGUGCCAGCAGCCGCGGUAAUACGGAGGGGGCGAGCGUUGUCCGGAUUUACUGGGCGUAAAGGGAGCGUAGGCGGAUUUUUAAGUGAGAUGUGAAAUACUCGG
RNAcentral lists this ribosomal RNA (256 nucleotides) under uncultured bacterium. RNAcentral's name for it is "partial 16S ribosomal RNA". It matches the Rfam family "Bacterial small subunit ribosomal RNA", at positions 333 to 606 of the family's 1533-position model. The record is from RNAcentral.